This 1029-nucleotide long non-coding RNA is filed under the name Actinidia chinensis (golden kiwifruit). RNAcentral describes it as "long non-coding RNA (ACHI_LNC003323)". Lineage: Eukaryota; Viridiplantae; Streptophyta; Magnoliopsida; Ericales; Actinidiaceae. The record is from RNAcentral.
AAGUACUCUUGAAUAUGUCUUUUCACACCUCUAAAUAUUAAGGUAUGGAAAAAUGCUUAAAAAUUUCAUUGGAUGGACCAGUAUUAAUGCCACAUUCUUCGUACAACUUUGCCAUGUGUUACACUUUAACUAUUUCAAAUUGUAAGUAGUUAAUUUUUGAAGUAGCAUUGAUAGUUUCAAAAUUGUUUGGUUUUGCGAGGUGUAAUUCUAUUGACUAUUGGACUCAAUUGGAUGAACCAUGAUAGUGGGGAUGCAUGGGCCCAAGUACUAUCGAAUACAUCUUUUUAUACCUCCAAAUAUUGAGUUAUAGAAAAGUGCUUUAAAUUUCAUUGGAUGAACCAGUAUGAAUGCCACUUUCUUUGACCAACUUUUAUAAUUCUGUUCCACUUAGUUAUUGCCAUGUGUGGUACUUUUACUAUUUCAAAUUAUGAUUAUUGAAUUUUUGUAGAAGUAGCAUGGAUUGUUUCGUAAUUGUUUAGUUUUGCGAGGUGCAACUCUAUUGACUAUUGGACUUGAUUGAAUGGACCAUGCUAGUAGGGAUGCCUGGGCAGAAUUACUUUCGAAUACAUCUUUCCACACCUUCAAAUAUUGACGUACAGAAAAAUGCUUUAAAUUUCAUUAGACGGACCACGUGAAUGCCACCUUCUUCUUACAACUUUUAUAAGUCGAUACCAAUUAGUUAUUGCCAUGUGUGAUAAUUUGACUAUUUUGAAUAAUUAUUAUUGAAUUUUUGUGGAAGCACAAUUGAUAGUUACGUAAUUGUAUGGUUUUGCAAGGUGUAACUCUUUUAACUAUUGGACUCGAUUGAAUGGACAAUGCUAGUAUGGAUGCCUGGGUCAAUGUACUAUCAAUACGUCUUUCCACACUUCCAAAUAUUGACUAUCGGACUCGAUUUGAUAAACCAAGCUAGCAGGGAUGCCUAGGCCCAAGUACUUCCGAAUACGUCUUUCCGCACCUCUAAAUAUUGAGGUACAAAAAAAUGCUUUAAACUUCAUUAGAUGGACCACGUGAAUGCCACCUUCUUCGACC